RNAcentral lists this ribosomal RNA (253 nucleotides) under uncultured bacterium. RNAcentral describes it as "partial 16S ribosomal RNA". It matches the Rfam family "Bacterial small subunit ribosomal RNA", at positions 524 to 776 of the family's 1533-position model. The record is from RNAcentral.
UACGAAGGGGGCUAGCGUUGCUCGGAAUCACUGGGCGUAAAGCGCACGUAGGCGGCUUUUUAAGUCAGAGGUGAAAUCCUGGAGCUCAACUCCAGAACUGCCUUUGAUACUGGAGAGCUUGAGUCCGGGAGAGGUGAGUGGAACUGCGAGUGUAGAGGUGAAAUUCGUAGAUAUUCGCAAGAACACCAGUGGCGAAGGCGGCUCACUGGCCCGGUACUGACGCUGAGGCACGAAAGCGUGGGGAGCAAACAGG